RNAcentral lists this transfer RNA (75 nucleotides) under Evansella vedderi. RNAcentral's name for it is "tRNA-Arg". It matches the Rfam family "tRNA". From Rfam's summary of the family: Transfer RNA (tRNA) molecules are approximately 80 nucleotides in length. The record is from RNAcentral. Lineage: Bacteria; Bacillati; Bacillota; Bacilli; Caryophanales; Bacillaceae.
GCGCCCAUGGUGAAAUGGAUAUCACAUGAGAUUUCGGCUCUCACGUUCUGGGUUCGAAUCCUGGUGGGCGCGCCA